GGUUGGUCCGAGUACAGUGGUGUUUACAACUAAUUGAUCACAACCUUUGUGAUACAGAUUCCUUUGUUCCUUUUCCACUCCCACUGCUUCACUUGAUCAGCCUUUA
RNAcentral lists this Y RNA (106 nucleotides) under Propithecus coquereli (Coquerel's sifaka). RNAcentral describes it as "Y RNA (ENSPCOG00000004001.1)". It matches the Rfam family "Y RNA". Rfam says of the family: Y RNAs are components of the Ro ribonucleoprotein particle (Ro RNP), in association with Ro60 and La proteins. The Y RNAs and Ro60 and La proteins are well conserved, but the function of the Ro RNP is not known. In humans the RNA component can be one of four small RNAs -- hY1, hY3, hY4 and hY5. Lineage: Eukaryota; Metazoa; Chordata; Mammalia; Primates; Indriidae. The record is from Rfam by way of RNAcentral.